This 685-nucleotide ribosomal RNA is filed under the name uncultured Bacteroidota bacterium. Its description in RNAcentral is "bacterial SSU rRNA". It matches the Rfam family "Bacterial small subunit ribosomal RNA", at positions 115 to 798 of the family's 1533-position model. The record is from RNAcentral. Lineage: Bacteria; Pseudomonadati; Bacteroidota.
GUUUAUCCAACCUGACCACCACUUGGGGAUAACCUUGCUAAAGUAAGACUAAUACCCAAUGACGUCUCUAGAAGACAUCUGAAAGAGAUUAAAGAUUUAUCGGUGAUGGAUGGGGAUGCGUCUGAUUAGCUUGUUGGCGGGGUAACGGCCCACCAAGGCUACGAUCAGUAGGGGUUCUGAGAGGAAGGUCCCCCACAUUGGAACUGAGACACGGUCCAAACUCCUACGGGAGGCAGCAGUGAGGAAUAUUGGUCAAUGGACGAGAGUCUGAACCAGCCAAGUAGCGUGCAGGAUGACGGCCCUAUGGGUUGUAAACUGCUUUUAUAAGGGAAUAAAGUGAGUCUCGUGAGACUUUUUGCAUGUACCUUAUGAAUAAGGACCGGCUAAUUCCGUGCCAGCAGCCGCGGUAAUACGGAAGGUCCGGGCGUUAUCCGGAUUUAUUGGGUUUAAAGGGAGCGUAGGCCGGAGAUUAAGCGUGUUGUGAAAUGUAGAUGCUCAACAUCUGCACUGCAGCGCGAACUGGUUUCCUUGAGUACGCACAAAGUGGGCGGAAUUCGUGGUGUAGCGGUGAAAUGCUUAGAUAUCACGAAGAACUCCGAUUGCGAAGGCAGCUCACUGGAGCGCAACUGACGCUGAAGCUCGAAAGUGCGGGUAUAGAACAGGAUUAGAUACCCUGGUAGUCCGC